Molecule: long non-coding RNA, 381 nt
Organism: Alosa sapidissima (American shad)
Lineage: Eukaryota; Metazoa; Chordata; Actinopteri; Clupeiformes; Clupeidae
Exons: 2
Source: RefSeq, a predicted model, not a curated record
AUGUCUCACCUGAGGAACUCUUGUGUGGAUAGGGCGCAGCAGAGAACUUCUACAAACAGCAACAUCAAGCCCUUUUUAAUCAGCCCAGCCUCAAAACGGUACCGGUUGACCAGGAAUUCUCCCAAUUUCCACUCUGCUUCUGCCAGUAGCCAGGUAGAUAUCAAGACAUGAAAGUGAACAUUGGACAGCCGUCAUUUAGGUAAAGAGAUUAUAUGAGCAACAGCAACAAAGCCACUGCCUAUAAAACAUUCACCCUAAAGUGAUCCACAUCAGGGCCACACUAGGGCCAGACACAAGACCUAGUCCUCACCUGCAGACAGAGACUACAUUUGGAUAAGACCUAGUCCUCACCUACAGACAGAGACUACAGGUGGAUAAGAC